AUUGAACGCUGGCGGCAUGCCUUACACAUGCAAGUCGAACGGUAACGGGCCUUCGGGUGCCGACGAGUGGCGAACGGGUGAGUAAUGUAUCGGAACGUACCUUUCAGUGGGGGAUAACGUAGCGAAAGUUACGCUAAUACCGCAUAAUCUGUGAGCAGGAAAGCAGGGGAUCGCAAGACCUUGCGCUGAUUGAGCGGCCGAUGUCAGAUUAGCUAGUUGGUGAGGUAAAGGCUCACCAAGGCGACGAUCUGUAGCGGGUCUGAGAGGAUGAUCCGCCACACUGGAACUGAGACACGGUCCAGACUCCUACGGGAGGCAGCAGUGGGGAAAUUUGGACAAUGGGGGCAACCCUGAUCCAGCCAUGCCGCGUGAGUGAAGAAGGCCUUCGGGUUGUAAAGCUCUUUCGGUCGGGAAGAAAUCGCAUGGGUUAAUACCCUGUGCGGAUGACGGUACCGGCAUAAGAAGCACCGGCUAACUACGUGCCAGCCGCCGCCGUAA
Molecule: ribosomal RNA, 498 nt
Filed under: uncultured bacterium
Lineage: Bacteria
Description: partial 16S ribosomal RNA
Rfam family: Bacterial small subunit ribosomal RNA
Source: RNAcentral